GUAAACAGGAAACCGAACAGCAGAUAUUCCGUGUUGUGUUCAUCAAUGUGAGGCAGAGAUGUCAGGACAGCGCGCCACAACAGAGUUAAAAAAAAAAAAAAAAAAGUCCAAAAGUGCCCAGGGCAGCACAAAAGAGAAGAGACCGGUGGACGAGACCCAGCGCAAGACUGAGCCGCUCGAUCCGUCCGGCGAGAUCGCCGGAUGCCAGCAACGCAACACUACAUCGUGGGAGAGCCCCGACGCCAAGGAGCAUCAACAGCAUUGUUUCUGAAGUCCAGCAGUAUCAAACUACUCUUCUGAGCACCUUGAGGGACACAAUGGAGAGGAUCUUUGAAAGACGUUCAGACAGCGUGGAGCAGUUACAAGAGGAAGUACUGGCAACAUUAGACAAUUUUCAAGAUCCUUUCUCCCUAAUGGCUGCCACAUACAUGCAAGACAGCACCAUCCCAGAGGCUUUUUAACCCAGUUAAACCAGAGGAGGUAGUUAUGUCUCAGAGGGUUUGUCGAGUUAAGAAAGGACAGUCGAGAGUUCUAGGAAUUAAAAACAGAAGUUUUUUACUAUAUAUCCCUGGUUAAGAGUCUUGAACAGCUGUUGUCCAAUUCUAGGAUUUUUGAUAUGAUCUACACCACACCACAGAGUUGCCACAAAGAUGGUUUUUUAUAUGAUAUUGUUGAUGGGAAUUGGACUUAAUUCAGAUAGUUUAGAUACUUUUUGUUCCUGUUUUAUCUGUGCAGACUGUAUUAAGACUGAGAAAUAUGAUUGAACAGCAUCUGAAACAGUUUAAGCAGCUUUUUCCGGAGAAUAAUAUAAUCCCUAAGCAACAUUACCUGCUGCAUCUCCCUGGCCAAAUUCUUUCUCUGGGCCCUAUGAUAACACACAUGUGCAUGAGAUUUGAGUCAAAGCACUGUUUUUUAAAACGGUGGUCAUCUAAAUUGAACUUCAAAAAUGUCUGUAAGUCACUUGUGAAACAUAAUCAGCUUUUUGAAUGCUGUCAAAAUGAAAUGGGUAUGGAGCAUCCCAUUUUUUUGCAUGAGAAAGAAUUGGGUCCUGUCACAGAAGUAGCAAAUAUGGAGUAUGUUAAUACAAAGAUGAGAAAUUUUUGAGGGAUUUAUGGCAUACAACACACAAAGUAAAGUGGCUUAUUCUCAAUGGGAACAGGUACAGAAGUGACAGGUCUCUAAUAAUCACCAAUACAAAUGAGACAGUGCCUGUCUUCGGAUUUAUAAAAAACAUUUAUGUGGUAGACAGUUCAUUGUAUUGUUUUGAGUACCAGCUUUAUGAGACAGUGGAUUAGAAUAGAGAUCUUUUAGCCUAUGAAGUUGCAGUGCCUAAUCUUGCUCAAGCAACAGAGUUGAUCGAUGCUGAAAAGCUAGUGGAUCAUACAUCAUAUUAUCCUGUCAGUUUCAAAACACCACGUAUGUUCUGACAAAAUAUUUUCUUGGUGAUGUUGCUGCACUUAAACAUUGAAAUGAAUGUGAAUAAACAUGCUGUUGGUACAACUGUG
Long non-coding RNA from Stegastes partitus (bicolor damselfish), 1505 nucleotides. RefSeq lists it as uncharacterized. The record is from RefSeq and is a predicted model, not a curated record. The transcript has 2 exons. NCBI's taxonomy places the organism in Eukaryota, Metazoa, Chordata, Actinopteri, Pomacentridae.